UAGAGUUUGAUCCUGGCUCAGAUUGAACGCUGGCGGCAUGCCUUACACAUGCAAGUCGAACGGCAGCACGGGGGCAACCCUGGUGGCGAGUGGCGAACGGGUGAGUAAUACAUCGGAACGUGUCCUGUAGUGGGGGAUAGCCCGGCGAAAGCCGGAUUAAUACCGCAUACGAUCUACGGAGGAAAGCGGGGGAUCUUCGGACCUCGCGCUGCAGGGGCGGCCGAUGGCAGAUUAGCUAGUUGGUGGGGUAAAGGCCUACCAAGGCGACGAUCUGUAGCUGGUCUGAGAGGACGACCAGCCACACUGGGACUGAGACACGGCCCAGACUCCUACGGGAGGCAGCAGUGGGGAAUUUUGGACAAUGGGGGCAACCCUGAUCCAGCAAUGCCGCGUGUGUGAAGAAGGCCUUCGGGUUGUAAAGCACUUUUGUCCGGAAAGAAAACUUCGUCCCUAAUAUGGAUGGAGGAUGACGGUACCGGAAGAAUAAGCACCGGCUAACUACGUGCCAGCAGCCGCGGUAAUACGUAGGGUGCGAGCGUUAAUCGGAAUUACUGGGCGUAAAGCGUGCGCAGGCGGUCUGUUAAGACCGAUGUGAAAUCCCCGGGCUUAACCUGGGUACUGCAUUGGUGACUGGCAGGCUAGAGUGUGGCAGAGGGAGGUAGAAUUCCACGUGUAGCAGUGAAAUGCGU
This 689-nucleotide ribosomal RNA is filed under the name bacterium enrichment culture clone SC-2_3. RNAcentral's name for it is "bacterial SSU rRNA". It matches the Rfam family "Bacterial small subunit ribosomal RNA", at positions 1 to 691 of the family's 1533-position model. The record is from RNAcentral.